This 378-nucleotide ribosomal RNA is filed under the name uncultured bacterium. Its description in RNAcentral is "partial 16S ribosomal RNA". It matches the Rfam family "Bacterial small subunit ribosomal RNA", at positions 338 to 733 of the family's 1533-position model. The record is from RNAcentral.
CCUACGGGUGGCAGCAGUGGGGAAUAUUGCACAAUGGGGGAAACCCUGAUGCAGCGACGCCGCGUGAGUGAAGAAGUAAUUCGUUAUGUAAAGCUCUAUCAGCAGGGAAGAAAAUGACGGUACCUGAGUAAGAAGCCCCGGCUAACUACGUGCCAGCAGCCGCGGUAAUACGUAGGGGGCAAGCGUUAUCCGGAUUUACUGGGUGUAAAGGGAGUGUAGACGGCAGUGCAAGUCUGGAGUGAAAGGCGGGGGCUCAACCCCCGGACUGCUCUGGAAACUGUACGGCUGGAGUGCAGGAGAGGGAAGUGGAAUUCGGGGGGGAGGGGUGAAAUGCGUAGAUAUUAGGAGGAACACCAGGGGCGAAGGCGGCUUACUGGA